Molecule: ribosomal RNA, 254 nt
Filed under: uncultured microorganism
Description: partial 16S ribosomal RNA
Rfam family: Archaeal small subunit ribosomal RNA
Source: RNAcentral
CACCGGCGGCUCGAGUGGUGGCCACUUUUAUUGGGUCUAAAGCGUCCGUAGCCGGCUUGGCAAGUCCCCUGGGAAAUCUGGCGGCUUAACCGUCAGGCGUCCAGAGGAUACUGCCAGGCUUGGGACCGGGAGAGGUGAGAGGUACCUCAGGGGUAGCGGUGAAAUGUGUUGAUCCUUGGAGGACCACCUAUGGCGAAGGCACUUGUCUGGAACGGGUCCGACGGUGAGGGACGAAAGCCAGGGGCGCGAACCGG